This 253-nucleotide ribosomal RNA is filed under the name uncultured bacterium. Its description in RNAcentral is "partial 16S ribosomal RNA". It matches the Rfam family "Bacterial small subunit ribosomal RNA", at positions 524 to 776 of the family's 1533-position model. The record is from RNAcentral.
UACGUAGGGUGCAAGCGUUGUCCGGAAUUAUUGGGCGUAAAGAGCUCGUAGGCGGUUUAUCGCGUCUGCUGUGAAAACUCGGGGCUCAACUCCGAGCUUGCAGUGGGUACGGGCAGACUAGAGUGCGGUAGGGGAGACUGGAAUUCCUGGUGUAGCGGUGGAAUGCGCAGAUAUCAGGAGGAACACCGGUGGCGAAGGCGGGUCUCUGGGCCGUAACUGACGCUGAGGAGCGAAAGCAUGGGGAGCGAACAGG